GGUGCCAGCAGCCGCGGUAAUCCAGCUCCAAUAGCGUAUAUUAAAGGUUGUUGCAGUUAAAAAGCUCGUAGUUGAAUUUCGGGGUUAGUAGGUUGGUCAUGCCUCUGGUAUGCACUGGCCUCACUGAUUCCUCCUUCCUGAUGAGCCGUAAUGCCAUUAAUUUGGUGUUGCGGGAAUUUGGACUGUUACUUUGAAAAAAUUAGAGUGUUUAAAGCAAGCUAACGCUUGAAUACAUUAGCAUGGAAUAAUGAAAUAGGACGUUCGAUCCUAUUUUGUUGGUUUCUAGGGAUUGACGUAAUGAUUAAUAGGGAUAGUUGGGGGGCAUUAGUAUUCAAUUGUCAGAGGUGAAAUUCUUGGAUUUAUUGAAGACUAACUACUGCGAAAGCAUUUGCCAAGGAUGUUUUCAUUAAUCAAGAACGAAAGUUAGGGGAUCGAAGACGAUCAGAUACCGUCGUAGUCUUAACCAUAAACUAUGCCGACUAGGGAUCGGAUGAUGUUAAUUUUUUAAUGACUCAUUCGGCGCCUUACG
This 529-nucleotide ribosomal RNA is filed under the name uncultured Glomus. RNAcentral describes it as "SSU rRNA". It matches the Rfam family "Eukaryotic small subunit ribosomal RNA", at positions 563 to 1092 of the family's 1831-position model. The record is from RNAcentral. Lineage: Eukaryota; Fungi; Glomeromycota; Glomeromycetes; Glomerales; Glomeraceae.